AUACGGAGGAUCCGAGCGUUAUCCGGAUUUAUUGGGUUUAAAGGGUGCGUAGGCGGAAGAAUAAGUCAGUGGUGAAAGUUUGCAGCUCAACUGUAAAAUUGCCGUUGAAACUGUUUUUCUUGAGUGUAAAUGAGGUAGGCGGAAUGUGUUGUGUAGCGGUGAAAUGCUUAGAUAUGACACAGAACACCGAUUGCGAAGGCAGCUUACUAAGAUACAACUGACGCUGAGGCACGAAAGCGUGGGGAUC
This 247-nucleotide ribosomal RNA is filed under the name uncultured bacterium. RNAcentral's name for it is "partial 16S ribosomal RNA". It matches the Rfam family "Bacterial small subunit ribosomal RNA", at positions 523 to 769 of the family's 1533-position model. The record is from RNAcentral.